AAUAAAAUAAUUAUGUUUUUGGUGGUUUAUUAUAAAUUUGUUUUACAUAUAAAUUUUAGUAUAUAAUUUUAAUUAUUUUAAUAAUGAUUAAUUAAAUUUGGUAGUAAUUAAUAUUAAAAAUUUAAGAAAUUAAGAUUUAGUAAUAUUAAAAUUAAUAACUAAUUUUGUGCCAGCAGUUGCGGUUAAACAAAAAUUAAAUUAAAUUAUUUCAGUUUAUAAUAAAUAAUUAAUUUAUUAAAAUAAAUAUUGAAUUAUUAAGUGAAAUUUUAAUUUAAUUUAAUUUUAUAAAAAAAAAUUAUGAUUUAAUAAAUUUUAAUAUAAACUAGGAUUAGAUACCCUAUUAUUAAAAAUUUAAUUUAUAAUACUAAAAUAGUAAAUAAUAAUUUAUUGAAACUUAAAUAAUAUGGCGGUAUUUUAGUUCAUUUAGAGGAAUCUGUCUAAUAAUUGAUAAUCCACGAAUAAAUUUACUUAAUUUAUAAUUUUGUAUAUCGUUGUUAAAAAAAUAUUUUUUAGUAAUAAUAAUAUUUUAAAUUUAAAAAUAAAAAUUAAUUCAGAUCAAGAUGCAGAAUAUAAUUAAGAAUAUGAUGGAUUACAUUAAAUAUAUUUAAAUGAAUAAUUUAUUGUAACAUAAAUUUGAAGGUGGAUUUAAAUGUAAUUUUAAUUAAUUUAUUAAAAUGAUUAAAAAUUAAAAUAUGUACAUAUUGCCCGUCACUUUCAUUUAAAAAUUGGAAUAAGUCGUAACAAAGUAGAGGUACUGGAAAGUGUUUCUAGAAAGAU
RNAcentral lists this ribosomal RNA (777 nucleotides) under Kallima inachus (orange oakleaf). RNAcentral describes it as "12S ribosomal RNA". Lineage: Eukaryota; Metazoa; Arthropoda; Insecta; Lepidoptera; Nymphalidae. The record is from RNAcentral.